This 326-nucleotide ribosomal RNA is filed under the name uncultured eukaryote. RNAcentral describes it as "partial 18S ribosomal RNA". It matches the Rfam family "Eukaryotic small subunit ribosomal RNA", at positions 1470 to 1796 of the family's 1831-position model. The record is from RNAcentral.
CCCUUAGAUGUCCUGGGCCGCACGCGCGCUACACUGAACGGAUCAGCGCGUUUUCCCUUCCCGAGAGGGACGGGUAACCUGCUGAACCCCGUUCGUGGUAGGGAUCGGGGCUUGCAAUUAUUCCCCGUGAACCAGGAAUGCCCAGUAAGUGCAAGUCAUAAGCUUGCGUUGAUUACGUCCCUGCCCUUUGUACACACCGCCCGUCGCUACUACCGAUUGAACGUUUUAGUGAGGUACUCGGACUGAGCCUCAGAAGAUUCACGUCUUUUGUGCUGCUCGGGAAGAUUCCCAAACUUGAGCGUUUGGAGGAAGUAAAAGUCGUAACA